GUGUCAGCCGCCGCGGUAAAACGUAGGAGGCGAGCGUUAUCCGGAUUUACUGGGCGUAAAGCGCAUGCAGGUGGUCUUGCAAGUGGGAUGUGAAAGCCCCUGGCUUAACUAGGGGAGGUCGUUCCAGACUGCGAGGCUGGAGGUCGGGAGAGGAAAGCGGAAUUCCCGGUGUAGUGGUGGAAUGCGUAGAUAUCGGGAGGAACACCAGUGGCGAAAGCGGCUUUCUGGCCCGCACCUGACACUAAGAUGCGAAAGCGUGGGGAGCGAACGGGAUUAGAUACCCCGGUAGUCCACGCUGUAAACGAUGGGUACUGGGUAUCGGCGGUAUUGACCCCGUCGGUGCCGAAGCCAACGCGUUAAGUACCCCGCCUGGGGACUACGGCCGCAAGGUUAA
Molecule: ribosomal RNA, 394 nt
Filed under: uncultured bacterium
Lineage: Bacteria
Description: bacterial SSU rRNA
Rfam family: Bacterial small subunit ribosomal RNA
Source: RNAcentral